GUAAGAGGCACAGUCAAAACAGUCUAAAAUUUUAUUGAGCUCUUCCAGUCUGAUGCACUACUGAAAAUGGGGCUUCACUGUCUAUCUUUCAGGGGUCUCCGACAAACAACGUGUCUCCAACAUCGACUCCGGCCAAAUCUUCAAACGCUGUUCCCACACUGCAGCCUCCUCCUGGGGAGAGCGCUGCCGCUGCUGCUGCUGCUGAGCCAGCUGAAGAUUCCUUGUUGGACCUGGAUCCACUGUCCUCCUCGGGUCCCUCAGGACAAUCAGCUGCCCCCACGUCUUGGGGAGGUAAGUGUCCCUCCUUCCGUCAACUUAGCUGCUGGUUCAUCUGAAAGAAUACAAAUCCACAUUCUAGCAUUCACAGUAGAUUAAGUCGCCAUAUACAGUAAGUAAUCUAUUUUCUGUUAGUGAACUGUCAAAAACUGUUUUAGCUUGGGCUUAAACUAACAUGUAUUUUCCUUGUUCUGUUGUUUGCUGCUUUAAAGAUCUUCUUGGAUCAGGUGAGGUUUCACUCUACUCUUUAUUCUCCUCCAGCCUCUACAGUAGUCUAGACUAGUGUAGUCUUAACGCAUCCUCUGGGACACCUCAAUGACAUUGACUUUCUUUCAAAACAAAACAAAAACUCUAAUCUGAAAUUGAGGUGGCAUGGAAACAAUGUCAAUGUUUUAAUCCAAAUUAAACAUGAAAAUAGACUGUAAUGUACAAAUCCUCCCUGUUUGUCUCCUCAAGCUGUUCUCUUUAGUCUGAGUAGUCUCUUUGUUUCUCUCUGCCUUCUCUCUCCCUUCCCUCCACAUACUCCAUUGUCUGUUUUUGGUUUACAACGGGGGCUAUUUUGGUUGGUUGUUUUUAUUUGUUGGUUAUGACUGGAUGGUGUUGAAUAAUUUAACUUUAAUUUGGUUAAAAUUUGGAUUUUACUUUGCUUGGUCAAUUCCAAAAUUUCUUAAUUGGCUAUAAUUUGUAUUGGACAUUUGUUUUGGCUUGCUUUUAUUCACUGUUGUAACGGUGACUCGACUGCAUAUUUUGGUUGCUCUUUUGGGGUUUAUUUUGGUACCUUUCUUUGGGGAUUUCAAACACCCCGUUGGUACUCGCAGAAAUGGGCGAUUCCUUGCUAUCUGAACCCACCCUCACAGCAGAGCCCGCCCCCUCCUCUGCAGCAGCAACGCCCACUCCUGCAGCCGCAGAACCUGGAGUCUCUCUAGCUCCUCCCACUAGCACAGCAGCCGCCACCUCCCCUGGCGCCACCAAUAUGGAUCUGUUGGGAGGUCAGUGGGCUUCCAGAUAAUUCUCUACGAAAGAAUCACUCUGGGAAGCUCGACCCUAAAACCAUCACACAAAUAUGAUAACACAAAGACGACUGCAUGCUCAAACACAUACAAUAUGUAGACGAACUACGCUGAUUUGUCACUGAUAUUGUCUGCAUUCUGCUAAUGAAGUUGCAUCAUCAAAAACAGUGAAGUCUUAAUGAUGCAUUGAUGCACACCUUCAUCAUUUUCAGCUCUCAACUGCCGUUCCUAGAAAAGUAUCCAAUAUUAAAUAGAUAUAUGAUGUUGAUUUCAUAAUGACAUUUGCCCGAUAACACAUUUAUUUAAUAACAUAACGAUUACGUUACGAGAUACGAGAUACGAGUUACGUAUUGUAACUCCAGAUUCUAUGAGUAUAGGCGCAGCCCUCUAAGAGCUG
This is a long non-coding RNA of Sander lucioperca (pikeperch), 1683 nucleotides long. Lineage: Eukaryota; Metazoa; Chordata; Actinopteri; Perciformes; Percidae. The record is from Ensembl.